GGCUGAACCCAGAAUCUGCUCCAGACGCACCAGCCCCUUAUUGGAGAACUGAGAAGCAUUUGGAGAGGCAGAGCCCUGUGUGCUGGGGAGCCCAGAGAGGACAGGACAGCAUAGUGGAUUCCCAUGGUACUACCGCCCUGGCCCUCCUAAGGAAUUAAGCUUCAAAGAUACAUGUGUGUUCACUGCUGUAUCCCCAGUACCCAGG
This 205-nucleotide long non-coding RNA is filed under the name Mustela putorius furo (domestic ferret). RNAcentral describes it as "lncRNA (ENSMPUG00000025051.1)". The record is from RNAcentral. Lineage: Eukaryota; Metazoa; Chordata; Mammalia; Carnivora; Mustelidae.